GGAGAGAUGGCAGAGCCGGCUAUGCGCACGACUGCAGAUCGUGUCCACGGGAGUUCGAAUCUCCCUCUCUCCA
Molecule: transfer RNA, 73 nt
Filed under: Candidatus Moduliflexus flocculans
Lineage: Bacteria; Candidatus Moduliflexota; Candidatus Moduliflexia; Candidatus Moduliflexales; Candidatus Moduliflexaceae
Description: tRNA-Cys
Rfam family: tRNA
About the family: Transfer RNA (tRNA) molecules are approximately 80 nucleotides in length. Their secondary structure includes four short double-helical elements and three loops (D, anti-codon, and T loops).
Source: RNAcentral